CGCCAGACUCCUACGGGGGGCAGCAGUGGGGGAUAUUGCACAAUGGGGGGAACCCUGAUGCAGCGACGCCGCGUGGGUGAAGGAGUAUUUCGGUAUGUAAAGCCCUCUCGGCAGGGAAGAAGCAAGACGGUACCUGACUAAGAAGCCCCGGCUAACUACGUGCCAGCAGCCGCGGUAAUACGUAGGGGGCAAGCGUUAUCCGGAUUUACUGGGUGUAAGGGGAGCGUAGACGGCAGCGCAAGUCUGAAGUGAAAUGCCGGGGCUUAACCCCGGAACUGCUUUGGAAACUGAGCAGCUAGAGUGCAGGAGAGGUAAGUGGAAUUCCUAGUGUAGCGGUGAAAUGCGUAGAUAUUAGGAGGAACACCAGUGGCGAAGGCGGCCUGCUGGACUGCGACUGACGUUGAGGCCCGAAAGCGUGGGGAGCAAAC
This 428-nucleotide ribosomal RNA is filed under the name uncultured bacterium. RNAcentral describes it as "partial 16S ribosomal RNA". It matches the Rfam family "Bacterial small subunit ribosomal RNA", at positions 329 to 773 of the family's 1533-position model. The record is from RNAcentral.